This 88-nucleotide transfer RNA is filed under the name Patescibacteria group bacterium. RNAcentral describes it as "tRNA-Ser". It matches the Rfam family "tRNA". From Rfam's summary of the family: Transfer RNA (tRNA) molecules are approximately 80 nucleotides in length. Their secondary structure includes four short double-helical elements and three loops (D, anti-codon, and T loops). The record is from RNAcentral.
GGAGGGUUCGCAUAGCGGUCUAGUGCGCACGCUUGGAAAGCGUGUGUGGGGCAACCCACCGAGGGUUCGAAUCCCUCACCCUCCGCCA